This 275-nucleotide long non-coding RNA is filed under the name Mytilus galloprovincialis (Mediterranean mussel). The record is from RNAcentral. Lineage: Eukaryota; Metazoa; Mollusca; Bivalvia; Mytilida; Mytilidae.
GUUUUGGAAUAAAAAUAAAAGAGCAAUAACUGUAAAGCAGUGUUCAUUUGGGCCUUAUUUAUUCCACUAUUUAAAAUUACAGAUUAUAUUAUUCUUCAUCCAACCAUAUCUUAAAGAGUCCAAAAACUGUUGCAUAUUAAGUUCAUUAAUUUUUUUUAAUUCACUUAUGCUUUUUAUAAAAUUUUCACCUUAGAUUUUAAUAUAUAUGUUUUAAUGGGAAUAAACUUUUUCUUUUUUUUUACAAUUGUUUCUCUCAAAAUUUCAACAAACCGAAA